UCUCUCUCUCUCUCUCUCUCUCUCUCUCUCUCUCUCUCUCUCUCUGUGUGUGUGUGUGUGUGUGUGUGAGAGAGAGAGAGAGAGAGAGAGAGAGAGACAGAGAGA
Molecule: microRNA precursor, 105 nt
Filed under: Marmota monax (woodchuck)
Lineage: Eukaryota; Metazoa; Chordata; Mammalia; Rodentia; Sciuridae
Source: RNAcentral